Molecule: long non-coding RNA, 3446 nt
Filed under: Homo sapiens (human)
Lineage: Eukaryota; Metazoa; Chordata; Mammalia; Primates; Hominidae
Description: HSALNT0297051
Source: RNAcentral
AAUUAACCCAAUCUAUUCAAGACAAAAAAUUUUAAAAAAUGAACAAAGCCUCUAAGAAAUUUGGGACUGUUAAACGUCCAAACAUAAGAAUAAUUGGUGUUCCUGAGAAGAGAAAUCUCUCCCAGCAGGGCUACUGGGCUCUGGGGUGGCACUAGGGAGUAUUUGCGAAGAGUGCUCUGAUGUGAUCUGUCUUCAGAUCUUUCAGCUGUGGAUACCAACACCUACUCUGGUGGAGGUAGCAGAGGAGUGAACUGGACUCCCUUAGGGUCCUUGGUUGUGUUUUUGUUUAAUGCACUGGUUUUGUGUUGGUUGGCCUCCAGCCAGGAGGUGGUGCUUUCAAGAGCUCAUCAGCUGUGGUACCAUAGGGAGAAUGCAAACUUGCCCUAGGGUCACCUGGUUAAGUAUUCAGAUUUCUCAGGUGUGGUGAGCAGGGCCAUAGAGCUCCCAAGAGAUGAUGACCUUUGUCUUUGGCUACCAAGGCGGGUAGAGAAAGAACUCCAGGUUGGGUGCAGGGAUGGGUAUUUCUGGGCUCAGCCUCUCCUUGAGUGGGGCUUGCUGGGGCUGCUGUCGGGGAUGGGAGUGUGGUUCCCAGGCCGACGGAAUUAUGUUCCCAGGGGCAUUAUGGCUGCCUCUGCUGAGUCAUACAGGUCCCCAUGGAAGUGAAGGAAAGCCAGCAGUCAUAGGCCUCACCCUACUCCCAUGCAGCCUGCAGUCCUAAAGGCCAGUGUUACUCCCACUGUGCCCCCACCAACAGCACCGACUCUAUUUCCAGGCCGCUGGUGACCAGGGCUGAGAAGUUGCCCCAGACCAUGAGCCUCCCCACUGAUAAAGCAAGCCGACUCAGUUUUUCAGCCUCUCAGGGAGCCUGCAGUGGUGAUCAAGUUUCUUCAAAGGGUCUGUGGAUUCUCUCAGAUUUUCUGAUAUGUUCCUGGCAUAGUCCUUGGAACAAAAGUUCAUAAUGUGGGUCCUGACGGUCAAAUGCACUUCUAUCAUGGAAGCUGUGCUGAGAACAGUGUUACUACGAUGUCAUUGUACAGUAGUACAUAAUUUGGUAGUUGGAUAAUGGUAUUUAUAUUGGGACUUGAUACAAAAGUAAGCAUUUUAGAUUUGGCUCCAAACAUCUUCUAAGGAAACCACAGACAAUGUAAGUAUUUAUUUAAAACAAUAACAGUCUCCACAAAGUAAAAAGAUACUGGGUUAGAAUGAUACGGAGUAAAUAACUUUUUAGUUAGUUAUAUGUGCUGACAAUGAUGUAUAUGCUAUUACUAGUAUUAUACUAGGAUUAGCUUUCCUACAGGAAUGAAACACAAUGUGGACAAACUUUUUCAGUGAAGUCUUGCCUACUGCCUCUGUGAAAAAAUUUCUAAUUAUGAUUUUAUCAGCCAGGAGGGCUUAAUCUCCUUGACAAAAUAAGAUUGUCUCAGUGACUUGAAAAGCCUUCUAGAAAAAUGUGAAAUUCAAUUAGCCUUAUCUUCCUUCUCGCAUUAAAAAAAUUUCUCUUCAUAUUCAUUGUCCACAUUUUAUCUUAUUUUCAUCAUGAACUCUUGCAGAAACAUGAAGCCAGUGGGCUGCAGGGGUCCAUGAUAGUGGUGUGGAGACUAGAAGGUGGACGCACAUCAGUGUGCAUAACAUUUCAAGUGACACCUGUUUCUGAUUUGACCACGUCAUUUUCCACUCUCUGUAGCACAACUGAAAGCUGAAGAACGUUUUGAACUAAGUGAGUGACAAAGGCAAUUAAAAAAAGAAACUGGCACAAUUUAGAAAGGGAGAAAAAUUCUCUAAUGAGAAUAAAAUCUGGCUAAGGGGUUGUGCGUUUUGAGUGGUUAUUCCAAAUGCUUCGGUAUCUGCCCUGUUGCCUUCCUUGGUGCCUGGGGUACCUGGAGGGGGUGUGGUUUUAGUGUGGGCAUCGCCACUCCUUCAGGAAGACUCUUGGGUUGAAGAACUGGGGAAAAGUGGUAAUAUCUGGACAAAGUGCCCUCACCCCAUCCUGCCGCCUCAGUGCAAUGCUCCUGGUGCUCACAGCAUCCCAGGAGACAAAGGACUAUUCUAGACAUAUAGAUCUGAGGUCAAGUCCUACCUCUGCUCUUGAUUAUUCUAGGACAUUAAGGCUCACAUAAUCACUCUGAUAAUUAGUUUUAGAAUGGGUACAAAUUAUCUAAUGGGUGCCCAUUAGAAUGGGUGCAAAUUAUUGCCCUUGACAUAUUUAUACUGCUGAUUAAAGUGAAAUAACAGUUGCUUUGGAAAAAGGUAACAAUAUGAUUAAAUAAAUUAUUCCAGUACUUUAAAUCUGAGUAAAACUCUCUGCAUGGGGUAGGUUCUUAAGAAAUAUUUGGUGACUGAUGGCCCAAAGCGAAAGUUAUUACUCAACUUCAUGUUUCAUCUCUGGCCCACAUGACCCAGUGGGGGCCCUCAGGGAGUGUGAAUGAGUAAAUGGGUGGGGUAGGGUGGUGUGGGAUGAGGUGGCAGUGUUCACAGUAACUAGGGUGAAGCCAUUGUCCACCUUGGUUUUGCCUCCUGGGACCCAUUUUCCAUAAGCUGCAUUGCAGCAAGUCUUUUGUGAAUCCCAUAAAGAGAAAAAAAUUCAAUCUAAAUUUGAUUGCUGCUGAUAAAGCACUCUUUUGGAGCUUUUAUUUGCUAUACUUUACAAAAGGAUAUAAUUUUCCAUGACACAAAUUAAUACAGUUCAAAAGCUUAUUAAGACCCACAUAAUACUCCUAGAUUUUGUCUACAAAAUUCAAGGGUUUCUUAGAAGAUUUUUAGGAGCUAUACAAGUUCUUAUUUCUCCUUAAUAUAAGUACAUGUUGCAAUAUAAUCAACUUUACCAAAUUACAAUGCUCCUUUCACAUUUUUGUGUAAAAAGGGAACCACUGAGAUUGAUGUUUUAUUCUUUGUCAUUGCUAUAUCUUGCCCAAAACUCUGUUAUAAAACCAAUGAGCUAUAUUUUGUUUGUUUUAUUUACAUGUCUGUCUCCACUAGACUGUAAACUCUUAAAGGGGAAGACUCUAUCUUAUUUAUCUGUUUAAAUCCUGCAAUGCUAGCACAUAAUUGUUCCACAUCAAUGUAGACUCAACGAAUGAAUGAAUCAUUUAAUUGACUACCAAACUGAUCACUUUAAAAAUAAGUUUAAUAAGAGGGACAACAUAUAAAAUAAUAUCUAACACUGAAGUAAAUUUACUGAGUAACCUUCUCAUUUUUCACUUCCAUUUUAGUGGAAUUGUAAAAAAGUUUGAAGAGAUCUAUUCCCAUUAAGUUUUAAAAAUAUAUAAUAUGAACUGGCUUAGGCAUUCUUGCUCCUUCUAGUAAGACCAUACCAAAAAUGUUUCUCAGCUAUUUUCUUUGCUUGCUUCCUCUCCCAUUGCUUCUCCUGCUUGCAAAAGCAAUGUCUGAACAUAAUUCUGACCCACGGGAAUGGGUAAGAAGGGGAAGCCACUAGGAGAAUGAUUAUU